UACGUAGGUGGCAAGCGUUGUCCGGAAUUAUUGGGCGUAAAGCGCGCGCAGGCGGGAUGGUAAGUCUAACUUAAAAGUGCGGGGCUCAACUCCGUGAGGGGUUGGAAACUACCAUUCUUGAGUGCAGGAGAGGAAAGUGGAAUUCCUAGUGUAGCGGUGAAAUGCGUAGAUAUUAGGAGGAACACCAGUGGCGAAGGCGACUUUCUGGACUGUGUCUGACGCUGAGGCGCGAAAGCCAGGGGAGUGAACG
RNAcentral lists this ribosomal RNA (250 nucleotides) under uncultured bacterium. RNAcentral's name for it is "partial 16S ribosomal RNA". It matches the Rfam family "Bacterial small subunit ribosomal RNA", at positions 524 to 774 of the family's 1533-position model. The record is from RNAcentral.